AUUUUCUGUAUUAUUUAGGGGGAAAGUGGAAAAAUUAUCCCUCUUUUUCAGAUCAUCUUCAAGAUAGAAUACAAUUGGUCCGCUGUCUGCUGGAAAGGUUAUGACUGUGGGUGCAAAUGAUUUUCUCGCUAACCAGAACACGGGCCGAGGGUCAAGGGAGGUCACUGCCUCUCGCUGUGUGCCGGGAGCAGACACAGACGGUUAAUGACCGGGCACAGCAUCAAAGAGCCGCCAGGGUUCUGUCCAUAGAGAUGGUCACCUGAGGACCAAGACGGCUGGGUCUAGUCACAGCUGACCACAUACAGUCCAUAUCAUAAGUAUUCACUCUCUUUGGAUUUCUUCACAUUUUAUUGUGUUACAAUGUGGUAUUAAAAUGGAUUUAAUUGUCUAUUAUUUUUGUAUCUACACAAAAACACUCUCUAAUGUAAAAGUAAAUGAAUUCAAUGAAUGAAAAAUAAAAAGCUAAUAUGAUUAGAUAAGUAUGUCAAUACAUGUUAUAAACAUAUUUGGCAGCGAUUUUAGCUGUGAGUCUUUUGGGGUACGUCUGUUAACGUUUUGCACACCUGUGCCAUAUUUGCCCAUUAUUCUUAAAAAAAAAUAUUCAAGCUCUGUCAAGUUGGUUGUUGUUAGACAGACAUUUUCAAGUAUUGCCAUAGUUUUUCAAGCAGAUUUAAGUCAAAACUGUAACUAGGCCACUCAGGUACAUUCACUGACUUCUUGGUAAGCAACUGAAAUGUAGAGUUGGCCUUGUGUUUUAGACUAUUGCCCUACUAACAGGUUAAUUUGUCUCCCAGUGUCUGGUGGAAAGUAGACUGAACCAGGUUUUCCUCUAGCAUUUUGCCUGUGGUACGGUCCAUUCUGUUUAUUUUUAUCCUGACAAACUCCCUUGUCCUUGAAGAUGAGAAGUUUACCCAUAACAUGAUGCAGCCACCAUCAUGCUUGAAAAUAUGGAGAGUAAUAUUCAGUAUCACCUGUUUAGUCCCUUGUUGCAAACAUGAUGCAUGUUUUGCUAUUUUUGUCCUAUACAAGCUUUCUUCUUUUUGCUCUGUCAUGUGGGUUAGUAUUGUAACUACAAUGUUGUUGAUCCAUCCUCACUUUUUUUUCUAAAAUCACAGCCAUUAACUACCAUGUUGUUGUGUUACUACCAUGUUGUGUUCAUGUUGCGUUGCUACCAUGCUGUGUUGUCAUGUGUUGCUGCCUUGCUUUGUUGUGUUUUUAGGUCUCUCUUUAUGUAGUGUUGUGUUGUCUCUCUUGUCGUGAUGUGUGUUUUGUCCUAUAUUUUUAUUACAUUUUUUAUUUUUAAUCCCAGCCCCCGUCCCCGCAGGAGGCCUUUUGGUAGGUCGUCCUUGUAAAUAAGAAUUUGUUCUUAAGUGACUUGCCUAGUUAAAUAAAGGUGAAAUACAAAUAAAAACUGUGUUACUGUUUUAAAAUCA
This is a long non-coding RNA of Oncorhynchus keta (chum salmon), 1433 nucleotides long. RefSeq lists it as uncharacterized. The record is from RefSeq and is a predicted model, not a curated record. NCBI's taxonomy places the organism in Eukaryota, Metazoa, Chordata, Actinopteri, Salmoniformes, Salmonidae. The transcript is spliced from 3 exons.